AUUCCAGCUCCAAUAGCGUAUAUUAAAGUUGUUGCGGUAAAAAAGCUCGUAGUUGGAUUUCUGUUGAGGACGACCGGUCCGUACCAUGUACGCGCAUCUGGUUCGGCCUCGGCAUCCUCUCGAUAGACGUUUCUGCGCUUGAUUGCGUGGAGCGGAUUUCGGGACUUUUACUUUGAGGAAAUUAGAGUGUUCACGGCAGGCUAUCGCCAGAAUACAUUAGCAUGGAAUAAUACUAUAGGAUCUCGGUUCUAUUUUGUUGGUUUCUAGACCCGGGGUAAUGAUUAAUAGGGACAAUUGGGGGCAUUUGUAUCAACACGUCAGAGGUGGAAUUCUUGGAUUGUGUUGCGACAAACUACUGCGAAAGCAUUUGCCAAGGAUGUUUUCAUUG
This 388-nucleotide ribosomal RNA is filed under the name Syndiniales sp. Its description in RNAcentral is "partial small subunit ribosomal RNA". It matches the Rfam family "Eukaryotic small subunit ribosomal RNA", at positions 582 to 975 of the family's 1831-position model. Lineage: Eukaryota; Dinophyceae; Syndiniales. The record is from RNAcentral.